CCUACGGGAGGCUGCAGUGAGGAAUAUUGGUCAAUGGGCGAGAGCCUGAACCAGCCAAGUCGCGUGAGGGAGUACUGCCCUAUGGGUUGUAAACCUCUUUUGUCGGGGAGCAAAAGCCGGACGUGUCCGGCUGUGAGAGUACCCGAAGAAAAAGCAUCGGCUAACUCCGUGCCAGCAGCCGCGGUAAGACGGAGGAUGCGAGCGUUAUCCGGAUUUAUUGGGUUUAAAGGGGGCGCAGGCGGAUUUUUAAGUCAGCGGUAAAAUCGUGGGGCUCAACCCCAUCCAGCCGUUGAAACUGGGGAUCUAGAGUGUGCGAGAGGUAUGCGGAAUGCGUGGUGUAGCGGUGAAAUGCAUAGAUAUCACGCAGAACCCCGAUUGCGAAGGCAGCAUACCGGUGCACAACUGACGCUCAGGCACGAAAGCGUGGGUAUCGAACAGGAUUAGAUACCCUUGUAGUC
RNAcentral lists this ribosomal RNA (458 nucleotides) under uncultured bacterium. RNAcentral describes it as "partial 16S ribosomal RNA". It matches the Rfam family "Bacterial small subunit ribosomal RNA", at positions 338 to 795 of the family's 1533-position model. The record is from RNAcentral.